Molecule: long non-coding RNA, 928 nt
Filed under: Calidris pugnax (ruff)
Lineage: Eukaryota; Metazoa; Chordata; Aves; Charadriiformes; Scolopacidae
Description: lncRNA (ENSCPUG00000002235.1)
Source: RNAcentral
UAUUGAAUUUCUGUAGGAUUUUUUUGAGGGAUCUCUCCCAAUAUCUUACAUUUUUUAAUUUUUUUUUUUUUGGGGGGGUGCAGAGUAUUAAUUUUCUUUUUUUUUUCCACCCCCGGUAGUGGAUCUGCUGCGACAUCCGCUACCUGGACGUCAGCAUCCUGGGGAAGUUCGCGGUGGUGAUGGCCGACCCGCCCUGGGACAUCCACAUGGAGCUGCCCUACGGCACCCUCACCGACGACGAGAUGCGGCGCCUCAACAUCCCCGUCCUGCAGGACGAGGGCUUCCUCUUCCUCUGGGUGACCGGAAGGUGACAUGAUGGCGGGUCACCACUCUCCACCUCCCCACAGUGUCCCCCAAGUCCUCCCUGGUCACCACCUUCCACCACCUUCCAUCUUCUACCUUCCAUCAUCCACCAUCUUCCUCUUCCAUCUUCCAUCUUCCUCCUUCCACCAUCUUCCAUCUUCUACCUUCCAUCAUCCACCAUCUUCCUCUUCCAUCUUCCUCUUCCACCUUCCACCACCUUCCACCUUCCAUCAUCCACCAUCUUCCAUCUUCUACCUUCGAUCAUCCACCAUCUUCCAUCUUCCUCCAUCUUCCUCCACCUUCCACCAUCUUCCACCACCAUCUUCCACCAUCUUCCACCAUCUUCCUCCAUCUUCCUCCACCUUCCACCAUCUUCCACCACCAUCUUCCACCAUCUUCCACCAUCUUCCACCAUCUUCCACCACCAUCUUCCACCAUCUUCCACCAUCUUCCACCACCUUCCACCACCAUCUUCCACCAUCUUCCACCAUCUUCCACCAUCUUCCACCACCAUCUUCCACCAUCUUCCUCCACCUUCCUCCAUCUUCCUCCACUUUCCACCAUCUUCCUCCACCAUCUUCCACCACCUUCUUCCACCUUCCUCCAUGUUCUUCCCCCAAAAACC